Pelobates cultripes (western spadefoot toad) is the source of this 243-nucleotide non-coding RNA. The record is from the annotation of a GenBank genome assembly. NCBI's taxonomy places the organism in Eukaryota, Metazoa, Chordata, Amphibia, Anura, Pelobatidae.
AUGUCUAGGUAUGUAUGUCUGUCAGUAUGUAUGUUAUUAUGUAUGUAUAUAUGUCUGUAUGUCUGUCAGUAAGUAUGUUUGCCAGUAUCAAUGUAUGUAUAUAUGUAUGUCUGUGUGUGUGUGUGUGAAUGGAUGUCUGUAUGCAUGUAUGUCAUUAUGAAUGUAUGUGUGUAUGGAUGUCAGUGUCUGUAUGUCUGUCAGUAUGUCUGUAUGCAUAAAUGUAUGUGUGUAUGUAUGUCGGUG